UAGGGAAUCUUCCACAAUGGACGCAAGUCUGAUGGAGCAACGCCGCGUGAGUGAAGAAGGUUUUCGGAUCGUAAAGCUCUGUUGUUGGUGAAGAAGGAUAGAGGCAGUAACUGGUCUUUAUUUGACGGUAAUCAACCAGAAAGUCACGGCUAACUACGUGCCAGCAGCCGCGGUAAUACGUAGGUGGCAAGCGUUGUCCGGAUUUAUUGGGCGUAAAGCGAGCGCAGGCGGAAUGAUAAGUCUGAUGUGAAAGCCCACGGCUCAACCGUGGAACUGCAUCGGAAACUGUCAUUCUUGAGUGCAGAAGAGGAGAGUGGAAUUCCAUGUGUAGCGGUGGAAUGCGUAGAUAUAUGGAAGAACACCAGUGGCGAAGGCGGCUCUCUGGUCUGCAACUAACGCUGAGGCUCGAAAGCAUGGGUAGCGAACAGG
RNAcentral lists this ribosomal RNA (429 nucleotides) under bacterium. Its description in RNAcentral is "partial 16S ribosomal RNA". It matches the Rfam family "Bacterial small subunit ribosomal RNA", at positions 355 to 776 of the family's 1533-position model. The record is from RNAcentral.